Molecule: ribosomal RNA, 194 nt
Filed under: uncultured bacterium
Lineage: Bacteria
Description: partial 16S ribosomal RNA
Rfam family: Bacterial small subunit ribosomal RNA
Source: RNAcentral
UUUACGGGAGGCAGCAGUGGGGAAUAUUGCACAAUGGGCGAAAGCCUGAUGCAGCCAUGCCGCGUGUGUGAAGAAGGCUCUAGGGUUGUAAAGCACUUUCAGUAGGGAGGAAAUGUUGUUGGUUAAUAGCCAGCGAUCUUGACGUUACCUACAGAAGAAGCACCGGCAAACUCCGUGCCAGCAGCCGCGGUAAU